RNAcentral lists this ribosomal RNA (162 nucleotides) under Jejuia sp. Its description in RNAcentral is "partial 16S ribosomal RNA". It matches the Rfam family "Bacterial small subunit ribosomal RNA", at positions 370 to 525 of the family's 1533-position model. Lineage: Bacteria; Pseudomonadati; Bacteroidota; Flavobacteriia; Flavobacteriales; Flavobacteriaceae. The record is from RNAcentral.
AAAGGGGGGAACCUGAUGCAGCCAUGCCGCGUGUGUGAAGAAGGCCUUCGGGUUGUAAAGCACUUUCAGUUGUGAGGAAAAGUUAGUAGUUAAUACCUGCUAGCCGUGACGUUAACAACAGAAGAAGCACCGGCUAACUCCGUGCCAGCAGCCGCGGUAAUA